UUCUUGUCCUGAUGGGAUCCAAUCCAUAUACUCCAAGUUGGUUUUGCUAAGUCAAUCAGCCUAACCACUAAAAGGGAUAAAAGCAUCUAAUUGAUUGAAUAUCUACCAUAGUACUUUUGAAGAGCCUUAACUCAUCAAACCAACCUCGUGCGUACUAGAUUUGGAAUCCUAUCCAUACUCAAACACUUUAUUGUUAAUGACCCUCUUAUUGAUGACCAACCAUAGGAAUCACACAAUCACAUAAAAUAGAGUAUUCAUGAUCUCGUUAUUUUUGUCCGUUAGCCACACGAGCCAUAUUUCUUGCAUUGGAUGAAAAUGUGAUCUAUAUUGUCCGAACUCCUCAUUAGAGAAAGGACUUACAUUUUGUCUUGGGAGCAUACCAAACAUCAUAUAAAUGUUCUAGUAU
Molecule: long non-coding RNA, 406 nt
Filed under: Carica papaya (papaya)
Lineage: Eukaryota; Viridiplantae; Streptophyta; Magnoliopsida; Brassicales; Caricaceae
Description: long non-coding RNA (CPAP_LNC012797)
Source: RNAcentral